This 716-nucleotide ribosomal RNA is filed under the name uncultured bacterium. Its description in RNAcentral is "bacterial SSU rRNA". It matches the Rfam family "Bacterial small subunit ribosomal RNA", at positions 140 to 851 of the family's 1533-position model. The record is from RNAcentral.
GGGAUAAUCCGGAGAAAUCCGGUCUAAUACCGCAUAAUAUCGUGAGUCUGCAUGGAUUUACGAUUAAAGGAGUGAUCCGGUGACGGAUGGGCAUGCGUGACAUUAGCUAGUCGGCGGGGUAACGGCCCACCGAGGCGACGAUGUCUAGGGGUUCUGAGAGGGAGGUCCCCCACACUGGUACUGAGACACGGACCAGACUCCUACGGGAGGCAGCAGUGAGGAAUAUUGGUCAAUGGGCUUACGCCUGAACCAGCCAAGUCGCGUGAGGGAAGACUGCCCUAUGGGUUGUAAACCUCUUUUGUCAGGGAGCAACGCCGGCUACGUGUAGCCGGACUGAGAGUACCUGAAGAAAAAGCAUCGGCUAACUCCGUGCCAGCAGCCGCGGUAAUACGGAGGAUGCGAGCGUUAUCCGGAUUUAUUGGGUUUAAAGGGUGCGUAGGCGGAAUGCCAAGUCAGCGGUAAAAUCGCGGGGCUCAACCUCGCUCCGCCGUUGAAACUGGCGUUCUUGAGUGGGCGAGAAGUAUGCGGAAUGCGUGGUGUAGCGGUGAAAUGCAUAGAUAUCACGCAGAACUCCGAUUGCGAAGGCAGCAUACCGGCGCCCAACUGACGCUGAAGCACGAAAGCGUGGGUAUCGAACAGGAUUAGAUACCCUGGUAGUCCACGCAGUAAACGAUGAAUACUAGCUGUUCGGGGCGAUUGGGCCUUGAGUGGCACAG